Molecule: non-coding RNA, 1937 nt
Organism: Drosophila suzukii
Lineage: Eukaryota; Metazoa; Arthropoda; Insecta; Diptera; Drosophilidae
Source: RefSeq, a predicted model, not a curated record
UCUACUGAAAUAUCAGCUAAACGAUUAUUGGGCUGUGUUUUCCAUUCGGGAUGCCGCGUAGGGAGAAAACUGGUUUUUAAAGAAGAAACAAAGUGUUUAUGACUGAUGCCGUCAAAGUACUUGUAUUGGGUAUUGCACGGUGGAUGGAUUUUAUUUAAUUUUAAAUUUAAUUUAUUUUAUUUUAAUUGAAGUUUUCCUUAUAUGUAGUUCUUGGACAGAGUUAUAUUAUACGUUCUUUUCUCGUUGACAAUGACUUAGGAACUCCGCUUAAUGUUAAAGCUUAUAAAGAGCUACAGCAUAAUUGACUGGCGCCUCGUGUUAACAUACCGGUUAUUCUAUGGCUUAUCUUGAGCUUGAUCAUGUUGAUAAGAUCCACAGCGUUAUCUGCAUAAGCCAGCGGAUGAAGGGCGAGAGAAACUAACCAAAAAUAACUACACUAAAAAAGGGAUGCCAAUUUGGUGGAACGGUGGUGUGUGCUGACUUUGUAUAUAUAAAUAUAUGUCAAUACAUUUUGUGAAACUUGUGCGGAAUGUGCCACUUGUGGUGUGCAGAUUAUGCUUCCGAUCGGAAAGAUCAAAAAAAUAUAUAUACAUAUAUUUUUUUUUUUCGCACAAAACGGAGGCCUUACCGGUCGAGCGGCCAAUUUGGCGGAACGGGGUUUGUGCUGAUAAUAUACAAAUAUAUGUCGAUAUAUUUUGUGGAACUUGCGCGGAAUGUGCCACUUGUGAAAAUGGAGGCGGUGAAGCGGGGCUGUGUGGAAGAAAUAUAUAAAUUACACGUAUUACACGUAUUGCAUUCGUUAAUUAUGUUUUGUAUUAAUUUUAUGUAGUCUGGGUAAAAAUAUGAGUUUCUAAAGUCUAUUAUCAUUUUUUGUAUUCCUUGAUGAAUUUUAUUUUUGUGUAUUUUAAUAAUAAGGUCUUUAAAUUCUGAAUAGCUACUUAUAUUUAUAAGAUUUUUUGUAGCUUUAUAGAGUUUAGUUCCAGUGUUUGGUCGAAUAAUUUUUAUAUAUUAUUAUAUUAUAUAUAUAUAUUUAUAUAUUUUAUAUUAUUUGAAAAAUAACAAAAUCAUUAAUAUUUUCGAACAAAGUAGUAGAGGUUCGUCCACAAAUGGCUUCUAGUAUUAUAUCGCUUCCCUUUUCACUGGUCAUUUCAGAAUAAAAUAUUUUUAUAAUAGUGCGAUUUUAUAUUUUUUCUACAUCGACUUUUUCUUUGUCACUUUUUAUGAAUAUUAAUUGUCUUUUAUAAAUAUUCAGACGACGCUCUGUAAUUGGAAUACCUAGAAAGCCAUCUUCUUCUGCACUAUGAAUUGUAGGGACUAAUGAUUCAAAAUCUUCAGUUCCAGAUACAAGUGAAUCUGAUUCGUUGUUUAUAAAGUUUGUCGCCGCUUCUUGACUUCUGUCUUUUAUGUUUACUCUGGAAAGAGCGUCUGCUACAAAAUUUGGUUUGCCUUUAAUGUGCUCAAUUUCAAAGUCGUAUUCGUUUAGUCUGAUUAUCCACCUCUGUAACUUCAUGUUUGGCUCUUUUACAUUGUGUAACCAAGCCAAAGGUUUGUGAUCGGAAAUAAUUUUAAACUUUCUACCGUAAAGGUAACAGCGGAAGUAAUUGGUUGCCCACACUAUCGCCAAUAAUUCUUUUUCUAUAACUGAAUACCAAGUCUCAUGUUCGUUAAGAGUGCGGCUUGCAAAACAAAUUGGAUUCUGGUCCUGCGACAAAACUGCACCUAAAGCAAAGUUGCUGGCGUCCGUCGUCAAUGUAAAUUUUUUAUUAAAGUUUGGAUAAGUUAGAAUAGGAUCACUUCUAAUCAAUAAUUUUAAUUUGUUAAAUGCGCUUUUGUAUUCUAUGUUAUUUAUAUCGAUUGACUGUCCCUUUUUUAAGCAUUUUGUAAUAGUUUUAGCAAUUUUAGCAAAGUUUUAAUAAACUUUUUAUAAAAACCACAUG